CGAACGAGAAAGUCUUGCUUGCAAGGCGAGUAAAGUGGCGCACGGGUGAGUAACGCGUGGGCAAUCUACCUUUGGGUCGGGGAUAACACUCCGAAAGGGGUGCUAAUACCUGAUACGAUGCGAAUUUCAAAAGGAAUUCUCAUGAAAGGUGACCUCUUCCUUGAAAGUUGCCGUCCGAAGAUGAGCCCGCGUCCCAUUAGCUUGUUGGUGGGGUAAUGGCCUACCAAGGCGAAGAUGGGUAGCUGGUCUGAGAGGAUGAUCAGCCACACUGGAACUGAGACACGGUCCAGACUCCUACGGGAGGCAGCAGUGGGGAAUAUUGCGCAAUGGGGGAAACCCUGACGCAGCAACGCCGCGUGAGUGAUGAAGGCCUUCGGGUCGUAAAGCUCUGUCAGGUGGGAAGAACAGGGCAAUUCCCAAUAAGGAUCGCCCUUGACGGUACCACCAGAGGAAGCACCGGCUAACUCCGUGCCAGCAGCCGCGGUAAUACGGAGGGUGCAAGCGUUGUUCGGAAUCACUGGGCGUAAAGCGCGUGCAGGCGGCCUGUUAAGUCAGAUGUGAAAUCCCUUGGCUCAACCAAGGAACUGCAUCUGAAACUAAUAGGCUUGAGUACGGGAGAGGAGAGUGGAAUUCCCGGUGUAGAGGUGAAAUUCGUAGAUAUCGGGAAGAACACCGGUGGCGAA
RNAcentral lists this ribosomal RNA (683 nucleotides) under uncultured bacterium. Its description in RNAcentral is "bacterial SSU rRNA". It matches the Rfam family "Bacterial small subunit ribosomal RNA", at positions 63 to 719 of the family's 1533-position model. The record is from RNAcentral.